AACGAACGCUGGCGGCAUGCCUAACACAUGCAAGUCGAACGAGACCUUCGGGUCUAGUGGCGCACGGGUGCGUAACGCGUGGGAACCUGCCCUUAGGUUCGGAAUAACUCCCCGAAAGGGGUGCUAAUACCGGAUAAUGUCUUCGGACCAAAGAUUUAUCGCCUUUGGAUGGGCCCGCGUUGGAUUAGCUAGUUGGUAGGGUAAAAGCCUUCCAAGGCGACGAUCCAUAGCUGGUCUGAGAGGAUGAUCAGCCACACUGGGACUGAGACACGGCCCAGACUCCUACGGGAGGCAGCAGUGGGGAAUAUUGGACAAUGGGCGAAAGCCUGAUCCAGCAAUGCCGCGUGAGUGAUGAAGGCCUUAGGGUUGUAAAGCUCUUUUACCCGGGAUGAUAAUGACAGUACCGGGAGAAUAAGCUCCGGCUAACUCCGU
Molecule: ribosomal RNA, 432 nt
Filed under: uncultured bacterium
Lineage: Bacteria
Description: partial 16S ribosomal RNA
Rfam family: Bacterial small subunit ribosomal RNA
Source: RNAcentral